GACGAACGCUGGCGGCGUGCUUAACACAUGCAAGUCGAACGGAAAGGCCUCUUUCGGGGGGUACUCGAGUGGCGAACGGGUGAGUAACACGUGAGUAACCUGCCCUUGACUUUGGGAUAACUUCAGGAAACUGGGGCUAAUACCGGAUAGGAGCUCCUGCUGCCUGGUGGGGGUUGGAAAGUUUCGGCGGUUGGGGAUGGACUCGCGGCUUAUCCGCUCGUUGGUGGGGUAGUGGCUUACCAAGGCUUUGACGGGUAGCCGGCCUGAGAGGGUGACCGGCCACAUUGGGACUGAGAGACGGCCCAGACUCCGACGGGAGGCAGCAGGGGGGAAUAUUGCACAAUGGGUGGAAGCCUGAUGCAGCAACGCCGUGUGCGGGAUGACGGCCUUCGGGUUGUAAACCGCUUUCGCUCAUGACGAAGCUUUGUGUGACGGUAGUGGGUAAAGAAGCACCGGCUAACUACGUG
Molecule: ribosomal RNA, 467 nt
Filed under: uncultured bacterium
Lineage: Bacteria
Description: partial 16S ribosomal RNA
Rfam family: Bacterial small subunit ribosomal RNA
Source: RNAcentral